Canis lupus familiaris (dog) is the source of this 1087-nucleotide long non-coding RNA. RefSeq lists it as uncharacterized. The record is from RefSeq and is a predicted model, not a curated record. The transcript is spliced from 3 exons. Lineage: Eukaryota; Metazoa; Chordata; Mammalia; Carnivora; Canidae.
GAAGACCCAGGAGUGGCCAAUGGCAAUGUAGAGGGAAUGUUUGUUGGAUGAAUAAACAGGGAAUAAGCCAAAAUUCCAUCAAUAGAACCAUGAAGUCCAACGGGUUCUGGAAUGGGACCUGACCUCGUGAACAGCAAAUGAGACGAUACCAGCUAAGCCCAGCCAGCACAAUUGGGGUCAAGCAUCAAAAGGCCAGGUGGGAUUGGUCCUGGGAACUGGAAGGAGACCCACUGCAGGUGGAACCCAGCUGCAAAGCGAGAAGUCUGAACUAGAUUCAAAGCCAGUUUCAAAGGUCUCCAUCCUAGACUCAGCUGGUGCUUGAACAAAAACGGUCAGCAUUAACUCAUCAACCUGGAUUCCUGAGGAAGAAGAGCGCCAGCACCGGCACCAUCUCAGAAAUGGCAAACAGCAAAACGAUCGUCUGGUCCAACCACCACUUCUCUUCCACAUUCCCGCCAUGAAAGGGAAAAGCCAUCCUAAACUGCAUCUAGAAUCUCAAGAGACCCUGAAAAGCCAAAACUAUCAUGAAAAAGAACAAAGCUAGAGGACUCACUUGCACCUCCUGAUUUCAAAAUUUAUUUCAAAGCUACAAUAGUCAAAACAGUGUGGUAGGGGCAUAGACACAGACAUAUAGACCAAUGGAAUAGAAGAGAGCACAGAUAUAGACAGUCCAACGAUUCUUAACAGAAGUGUCAAGACCACUCAAUGCGAAAAGGACAGUCUUUUCAAUAAAAGGUGCUGGGAAAACUGGAUAUUUAUAAGCAAAAGAAUGAAGUUGGGCCCUUACUUACCAUUAUGUCCUCAAAAGUUACCUCAAAGUGGAUCAAGGACCUCAAUGUAAGACUUAAAACUAUAAAAUUCUUAGAAGAAAACACAAGGCAAAAACUUCAUGACAUUGGAUCUGGCAAUGAUUUUUUUGUAUAGGACACGAAAGGCACAGGUGGAAAAAGAAAAAAAGAGAAAUUGGACUUCACGAAAAUUUAGACAUUUUGUGCAUCAAAAGAUACUAUAAAGAGAGUAAAAAAAAUAAAGCAAUCUACAGACUAGGACAAAUAUUUACAAAUUUUAUAUCUGAUAAGGGGUUAAU